CGCGCAGGCCCGCGGGCGCCGGCGUGCGGAGGUGACUGCGCUUGCGCGGCGCGGGAAUGAGAAGCUCGCGGGCUGUGUGACGCGGUAGAAGUGAAGAUGCCACCCCGUCCUGCCCUCGGUCCGCUGGGCACAGUGGGGUAUUGCUCCAGGAUCUUGCUUCAGACGCGUAAGCUCCCCCAUCCAUUAAACCAUCGAUGUCUCUGUUGCUGACUCCGGGCUCUUCCGUCUUGAAGCUGGGCAAGCACAGGGCUUGUAGGCCUGCGGGGUGCAGCCCAACAGCUUCACAUGUAUUGACUCAUUUGAUGCUUCCAACAACUUCGUGAAGGAGGAAGCCAAGGCCUGCACCUACCCAGGGGAGGACAAGGCGUGCAGGACUCAGGUCGGACGUUUGAGGAAGGAGAGGAGGAGCCCGGGAACGAUGGAGCCCCAAGAGCACGGGGCAGCUGAAGGGUGUGAAGAUAAAGAACUGAAGCAGGUCAGAAUUCACAGUGAAUGGUGGGAAGACUCCACCACCAGCGUACCUGGUUCUAAGAUUUGCCUUGUAUACAGCAAUCAGGCCAUUUGCUUUUAUUCGUAUACAUGAAUGUUUCUGUGAUAUACUCAAGAAGACUUGAAUUUUUCACACACACAGACAUCCACCAAGUAACAGGGCAGAAAUGUGCACAAGCUCGGAAGCACAGGAACCACCUGGGUUCAGGUUCUGGACACGCCACGUCUUGCCGUGCAAGCUCAGAGGGCCUCCUUGACUUCACAGCCCUGGGUGAUUGUCAGGAUUAAAUAACACCGUGUUACCUACAAGGAAGCUGCCCUGUGAAUGCACAGAGGCUGUUUGACAUUUUUACAUGGUUUUAGAUAUAGUACCACUUAAACUGUGUUCCAGAAAAAAACUACAUACAAGUAAAAGUUUAAAAUGGCUUUAAAAAAAAAAUGUGGAACUCUUUUUAAAAUUGAAGUGUAACUGACC
Balaenoptera ricei (Rice's whale) is the source of this 964-nucleotide long non-coding RNA. RefSeq lists it as uncharacterized. The record is from RefSeq and is a predicted model, not a curated record. The transcript is spliced from 3 exons. NCBI's taxonomy places the organism in Eukaryota, Metazoa, Chordata, Mammalia, Artiodactyla, Balaenopteridae.